GGAAGCCUCGGGUAUCAGAGGACCAUCACUACUGGUAGCAUAUCUGGCUGCUGUUGAUCUUGUUUUUGGAGUAAAACACGGUGGAAGCUGAAUUAGUGAGGAUGACUCCUGCUCCUGUCAUCUCUAAGCUCCUCACACAUCUUUACCUGCACAUGAGGAAAAUCACUCCUGUAGAAUGCAGAUGUUCAGAGGGAGAUGAUUCCACAUCUGGUCCAGCUGAUGGAAGGUCUUGAAGUUCUCUGACUGGCCUCGACUGAAGAUGGUCGUCUCACUGGAUUUAAGGUUCAGAUCCUCAGUAACAAACUCCACCAAUGAGCCAACAGGGAAGCUUUAGGUUUAUUAAAUGUUGCUAUGAAGGUUUCGCUGUUUUUCUUUGUGAAUGCAAUGUGCUCCAACUGAAACUGGAAUUAGAACUUAGAAGUAAAUCCUUCCAUCUGAAAGGAUUUAUUUGCAUUAAUAACCUCAUAACAUUCUAAUUUUUAUUUCAGUCUUGGUUGGAAAUAGAAUCUCUGUAUUGAUUCGGGUAAAAACUGAACUUCACAGCAUGUUGAAGCAAAACAACCAGAUGAAAACUGUGAUGGUGUUGGAUUGUCAGACCGUAAUGUUGCAGCUCAAAGCAGCUUUUCUAGCUCAGUUCAUUCUGACAUUCAGCUAUGAAUCAACACAGCAGAUGGUGAUCCAUGCUGUGGAAGUCUCACAUCUCCUGAUUUAAUGGAGCUGCUUUGCACUUUUUACACUGUUUAUUCACCAACACUUUAUUUAAUAAAAGUCCCAUCUAGUUUUUAUGAGGAAUGUGAUGUUUUAAUUUCUCUGUGAAUAACUGCAGUCUAAUGCAACAGCUGGAGUUGUAACAUCUGUCCUGAUAUUGAUCAUGAAGUAUUGAUCAGAAUACUUAUGGUCAGCAGUCAUCCCUGAAGUUUUACAUUAAAAUCUUUACUUGUGUUGUGAACUUUGGUAAGAAGCAGAAACGUUAGCGUUGCCAUGGAUACAUGAGUGUUAAAUUCUGUCCAUGUUUCCAUUUUGGGAAAUUCAGUCCAGUUCCAGAAUGUGGAGGAAUUUAGUCUCACAAUCACAGACAACAAAUAUUAUCUGAAAGUUGGGUUAUUGUUGUUUAUCAGCACAAUACAAAAAGAGUAAUGUUAGAAAUAUUCCAGUUAAGACUCUAGAAUAUCAUGAUUUAUGUAAAUUUACCUCAAUAAUAUGAAUGUUCAGGUUAAGAUUGUACAGUGAUAUUUAUUAUGUAAGUUUAGCUGAUUAAAGUUUAUGACUCUGCACUAAAAUAUUAUUUAAAUUGACAUUAUUAUAACAUUUAGGGUCAGACCCUACAGUAUUGAGAUUAAGAAAUCAAAUAUUCUAUAAAAUGUAAAUACACUGAACUCAUUUGGAUAUAUUUAAGUGAGACUCUACAAUAUUAUUUGACACAAAUCUAUCUAAAUCAAAAUUUUAAUAAUUUUCAUGCCAAACAUUUACUGGACUGAUUUAAAUAUUAAAAUCACUCCUUUCUAAUCCUCUGCUGUAUGUUCAAACCUGAGGCCUUAAAUAGAAACACACAAGUAUCUGACUGAAGGAACUUCUGCAGAGUCCUGGUUCCAGAACAUGAUGAUAAAAUUAUAGACAAACUUUAACAAAAGCUGCCUGAGAGUUUACAGGUUUUUAUGUUGGAUUUCUUCAGUAAUUUAAUGAGUUAUCAGCAAUAAUCAAGUGUUCAUUUGAUGAACUUCAUUUCCUAAAACAUCCAGAAUUGAAGCUCAUAUCUUUGGCAGCUGUAAAGUUUCUGCUCCUUCAAAGUUCACAACACAAUGAAUUAAUUCCUAAAACACUCAAUGCUGGAGAGCGUUUGUGAUGCUGAAGCAGUGAUCAGUUUUUCUGUUUCUUCUCUGGAGAUGCACAAUGAGGGACGUCUGCAGUGACUGAGAAAGAGUCUCACCACAUCCUGACAUGAGGAAAAAGACUUUAUUGAAGACUACAAUGAGAAAAACUAUCAGACAGCAGACGGCUGCAUUCAAGGUGAGCUCUGAACAUUUGAUCUGGAACAGGAAUUCAAUCACGGCAGCAUGAGCUUCAUUUCAGUCUGUAGCUGCUGAAUUCAUGGAUGAAUCUUCUGGCACUAGAGAAGAAGACCAUCAAACAUCCAUAUCAGCUGAUGGAGGUCCAAGAGUCUUACCAAACAAACAACCUACAGAGUGAAGACCUCAAAUCUGAUUGGACGGCCUCCUAUUCAGCCACAUGCUACAGGAGGAGCCCUACGAGGACGAGCCGGUCCACCUGAUGGCGGCCAGUCGCUGCGGUUCAAAGGCAACACCGACUACGUGGACUUCUACUGGACCACACGGAGGCCUUCAAACCGGACCAACAAGUUCAGCGACUCCCCGACUCGUGGGUCUGAGGACGCCGCCGAGCCUCGGCCCAGCCGGCCGCCUGUCUGUGGGUGUUUGAGUGCUGAGAGGUUUGUGGAUGCAUGUGAACGUGUCUGUGUUGAAACAGCAGCUUUGGACUCACUAACGCCGGGAAAAACCAAGAGCUCCUUCAUCUGUGACUUCCACUAAAAAACUGAAGAAAAUAAGUUUGCCAGGGUUCUGACUGAUAACAGAUUAUUAAAUAAUGAAAAUAAUCGUUCAAAUAUUCCUUUAAGCAAUCCUUUUCGGUCUACAUUUCCUUUACACUGACUUCUUGGUAUAUGUACAAGUAUUUUGGGUGGAAUAUACCAUUAAGCCCAAUGUUCAAGGGUUCUUCUGGGAAUAUACCAUUAAACCAACCUUUUAGGUAAAUGUUCCAGGAUGUUGGGUAGAAUAUACCAUCAGAUCAACCUUUUAGGUCUACAUUGGAAGAUUUUAGAGUAGAAUAUUACUCCAAACCAUCCUUUAGGUCUACAUUUAAGGUGGAAUACUCCUUUACACCAAGAUUUUUUUUGGUCUGCAUUGAAGGAUUUUUUCUAAACCAGCCUUUCGGGUCUAUAUUUGGGGUUUUAGGUGGAAUAUUCCUUUUAACCAGCCCUUCAGGUCUCUUUGAGGAUUUUGGAUGGAAUACUCGGUUAAACCAACAUUUUAGGUGCAUGUCCAAGGAUUUUUGGUGGAAUGUUCCUUUAAGGUGGAUGUUUGAGGACCUUGUAGGUGGAAUACUUCCUGAAACCAACCUUUUAGGUCAACAUUCAAAGAUUUAAGGUGGAAUAUUCCUUUAAACCAACCUAAAUUUCAUGUUUUGACCAUUAUCAAGUGAGAAACCUCAAUCCAGACUCCUCAUAAUGACGUUUGAGAUUUAUGCUGCUGUUAUUUGUUUAGUUCAGACUAAAUGACAGAAAUCCACAACUGUAAUUUUAUUUCAGGACUCGGUUAUUAAAUGUCAAAACAAUCCAUGUGACUCUAAAAACUCAACAGCUGUACAAACUGUACAAAGAUUAAACUCUCCACAAGGAUCCAAAAUAAGUUGGACUUCUACAUGAGAGCUUCAAUUAUUCUUCAUGUACUCCCUGAAAAGUUUGGUCAAUAAAAAAGACAAAAGCUAAUAUUUUCAGCUGAAGUAAAGACAGACUUUGUAAUUUUUCUGCUCACAUGUUGUGUUGUUGUAAACUUACUCUUUCAAAUAAAUAGCCGCCUAACCCCCUGGAAACCAGCGUUUGUCCUGUUUUUGUGUUGCUCCUUGGCGACUCUAGACAGCCGGGUCGUAAUGUUUUUUGAGCAACACACCAUACUAUGACGUUUUUACAAUGAUGGUUCUACUAUGGAACCAGUUUGACAUGUUCAGGUGUUCUUUGUGUGAAAACUCAGAGAUUUCAGGUAUCAGAAGGUGGUUUUCAACUUACUUUGUGAACUUUCUGCUUCAACUUGAAACUAAAUUUCCUUCACUAACCCAGCCCUCUGGACUUCCAGGAAGCUGUGUUCCUAUUGGCUGUCCAGGUGGCUGCUUGGUGUUAUCAGGAACACCUGAGCAGCUCAGUGUCUUCCUGCUUUAUAUAGCUGCAGACAAACAUUUCCUCUGCUUCUCUUCACCAGUGAACCGGGUUUGGCUCCAUUGCUUUAGUUAGUUCUUUAGGCGUUGGCUUGCAGCUUCCAGCAGUAAAACAGACUUUAAU
Molecule: long non-coding RNA, 4069 nt
Organism: Amphiprion ocellaris (clown anemonefish)
Lineage: Eukaryota; Metazoa; Chordata; Actinopteri; Pomacentridae
Exons: 4
Source: RefSeq, a predicted model, not a curated record